Molecule: ribosomal RNA, 253 nt
Filed under: uncultured bacterium
Lineage: Bacteria
Description: partial 16S ribosomal RNA
Rfam family: Bacterial small subunit ribosomal RNA
Source: RNAcentral
UACGGAGGGGGCUAGCGUUGUUCGGAAUUACUGGGCGUAAAGCGCACGUAGGCGGCUUUGCAAGUUAGAGGUGAAAGCCCGGGGCUCAACUCCGGAAUUGCCUUUAAAACUGCAUCGCUAGAAUUGUGGAGAGGUAAGUGGAAUUCCGAGUGUAGAGGUGAAAUUCGUAGAUAUUCGGAAGAACACCAGUGGCGAAGGCGGGUCUCUGGGCAACUACUGACGCUGAGGAGCGAAAGCGUGGGGAGCGAACAGG